RNAcentral lists this ribosomal RNA (929 nucleotides) under Microbacterium sp. RNAcentral's name for it is "bacterial SSU rRNA". It matches the Rfam family "Bacterial small subunit ribosomal RNA", at positions 80 to 1019 of the family's 1533-position model. The record is from RNAcentral. Lineage: Bacteria; Bacillati; Actinomycetota; Actinomycetes; Micrococcales; Microbacteriaceae.
UUGCUCUGUGGAUCAGUGGCGAACGGGUGAGUAACACGUGAGCAACCUGCCCCGGACUCUGGGAUAAGCGCUGGAAACGGCGUCUAAUACUGGAUACGAGACGCAACCGCAUGGUUAGUGUUUGGAAAGAUUUUUCGGUCUGGGAUGGGCUCGCGGCCUAUCAGCUUGUUGGUGAGGUAAUGGCUCACCAAGGCGUCAACGGGUAGCCGGCCUGAGAGGGUGACCGGCCACACUGGGACUGAGACACGGCCCAGACUCCUACGGGAGGCAGCAGUGGGGAAUAUUGCACAAUGGGCGGAAGCCUGAUGCAGCAACGCCGCGUGAGGGAUGACGGCCUUCGGGUUGUAAACCUCUUUUAGCAGGGAAGAAGCGAAAGUGACGGUACCUGCAGAAAAAGCGCCGGCUAACUACGUGCCAGCAGCCGCGGUAAUACGUAGGGCGCAAGCGUUAUCCGGAAUUAUUGGGCGUAAAGAGCUCGUAGGCGGUCUGUCGCGUCUGCUGUGAAAACCCGAGGCUCAACCUCGGGCCUGCAGUGGGUACGGGCAGACUAGAGUGCGGUAGGGGAGAUUGGAAUUCCUGGUGUAGCGGUGGAAUGCGCAGAUAUCAGGAGGAACACCGAUGGCGAAGGCAGAUCUCUGGGCCGUAACUGACGCUGAGGAGCGAAAGGGUGGGGAGCAAACAGGCUUAGAUACCCUGGUAGUCCACCCCGUAAACGUUGGGAACUAGUUGUGGGGUCCUUUCCACGGAUUCCGUGACGCAGCUAACGCAUUAAGUUCCCCGCCUGGGGAGUACGGCCGCAAGGCUAAAACUCAAAGGAAUUGACGGGGACCCGCACAAGCGGCGGAGCAUGCGGAUUAAUUCGAUGCAACGCGAAGAACCUUACCAAGGCUUGACAUACACGAGAACGCUGCAGAAAUGUAGAACUCUUU